AGAGUUUGAUCAUGGCUCAGAUUGAACGCUGGCGGAAUGCUUUACACAUGCAAGUCGAGCGGCAGCGCGGGGCAACCUGGCGGCGAGCGGCGAACGGGUGAGUAAUGCAUCGGAACAUGUCCAUGUCGUGGGGGAUAGCCCGGCGAAAGCCGGAUUAAUACCGCAUACGCCCGAGAGGGGAAAGUGGGGGACCGCAAGGCCUCACGCGAUUGGGUUGGCCGAUGUCCGAUUAGCUAGUUGGCGGGGUAAGAGCCCACCAAGGCGAUGAUCGAUAGCUGGUCUGAGAGGAUGAUCAGCCACACUGGGACUGAGACACGGCCCAGACUCCUACGGGAGGCAGCAGUGGGGAAUUUUGGACAAUGGGGGCAACCCUGAUCCAGCCAUUCCGCGUGAGUGAAGAAGGCCUUCGGGUUGUAAAGCUCUUUUGUCCGGAACGAAACGGGUAGCGUGAAUAUCGCUGCCUACUGACGGUACCGGAAGAAUAAGCACCGGCUAACUACGUGCCAGCAGCGGCGGUAAUUC
RNAcentral lists this ribosomal RNA (522 nucleotides) under uncultured bacterium. RNAcentral's name for it is "bacterial SSU rRNA". It matches the Rfam family "Bacterial small subunit ribosomal RNA", at positions 8 to 526 of the family's 1533-position model. The record is from RNAcentral.